Molecule: long non-coding RNA, 247 nt
Filed under: Brassica napus (rape)
Lineage: Eukaryota; Viridiplantae; Streptophyta; Magnoliopsida; Brassicales; Brassicaceae
Description: long non-coding RNA (BNAP_LNC003761)
Source: RNAcentral
CCAGAGAGGCUGCAGUGGUAGUUGCAUUAUAGUUUUGGAAAUCAUAAUUGUACGGGAAGGAAGUUCAGAUUCUCUGGGAUUAUUAGAAUGUGAAAUUUAUCUUCAUUUAUUAAAAACUUGUACUUGGACAGUGCAGUUGGAUUGAGUUUGUAGCAGGCUAUAGUCUGGAUAUCACAUACUAUUUGGUAAGGACAACCAAGUGAUAAAUGCCUUGGGUAGGCGUAUGAGCUGUACCUCAGGAACCAAG